CCUACGGGAGGCUGCAGUCGAGAAUCAUUCACAAUGGGGGAAACCCUGAUGGUGCGACGCCGCGUGGGGGAAUGAAGGUCUUCGGAUUGUAAACCCCUGUCAUGUGGGAGCAAAUUACAAAGAUAGUACCACAAGAGGCAGCGACGUCUAACUCUGUGCCAGCAGCCGCGGUAAUACAGAGGUCGCAAGCGUUGUUCGGAAUCACUGGGCGUAAGGCGUGCGUCGGCGGUUUCGUAAGUCGUGUGUGAAUGGCGCUGGCUCAACCCGCGUACGGCACAGGAUACUGCGAGACUAGAGUAAUGGAGGGGGAACCGGAAUUCUCGGUGUAGCAGUGAAAUGCGUAGAUA
This 347-nucleotide ribosomal RNA is filed under the name uncultured bacterium. RNAcentral's name for it is "partial 16S ribosomal RNA". It matches the Rfam family "Bacterial small subunit ribosomal RNA", at positions 338 to 696 of the family's 1533-position model. The record is from RNAcentral.